Molecule: long non-coding RNA, 437 nt
Organism: Conger conger (European conger)
Lineage: Eukaryota; Metazoa; Chordata; Actinopteri; Anguilliformes; Congridae
Exons: 3
Source: RefSeq, a predicted model, not a curated record
GUAGACACACGUGCGUUCAGGUGCGUGCAAGUGUACCCACCUGGUACCUGAUGUGUCUCGACUUGUCUCUCACAGAUUUAAUAGCUGAAAAAGCAGACAUGUUACAGGGCGGAUGGAUAUCGAGUGUGUACACACGCUACGACAACGCUAUCGGUCUUUCAAUCUCCCAAAAGAAGAUGUAACAAGCUCAGAAGGGGGACAUACCCAUUUUCUGCUUUCAUUAUGACUGAAUGCUAGUUUCCGCUGUGGAGCAGUGUCUGUCUAUAACAAUAGAACGUCACCUCCUGUUGAGCCCGUGGGACAUGCCGGGAGAGGACAGCGCUGGUUCGGGCGGGGAGAGUCGGACCCAAACCCGACCGGUCCCCGGAUGACCGCUCUGUCAGGUCUCUGUGAUGGUGUUUUUUGGCCUCUCCGGGUGAAGAGGAUGGAAGUGAGAC